Taeniopygia guttata (zebra finch) is the source of this 1644-nucleotide long non-coding RNA. Lineage: Eukaryota; Metazoa; Chordata; Aves; Passeriformes; Estrildidae. The record is from Ensembl.
AGGCAAAGUAAAGCAAAAGAGAAAGAAGUGGUUGCAGCUUUCUGACUUCUUAACACCUAAGCUGCCACUGAGAAUGAAUUUUACAAGGCUUAAAUAAAAUAUCCAGGAAGGUCACAGUGGCAAUGAAGUUUGGACAACAGCCUUGUAAAUUGUAUAGAUCUGUUUAGUCUUCAGAUUGCAACAGUUCUGAGAACUAUAGUAAUCAGAACAGAUACGUGACACAGAACAAAGGAUUAAGCACUAUCACCUGAGUCUGGUCAAGCCAGGAUUAGAGAUGGCUGAGAACUGGUGCUUGUCUCCCCUGUGUGGCUCCAAAUAGUUUUGCUUUGAGUCUGUGAACACCUUGGGAUUGCCUUGGCUCCUGUGUUCCAGCUGUUUCUUGCUGUAUUGCAUUUGUGUGACAAGGUUUUGAUAACAGCGGUGGCUUCUGUGAGAGGCUGCUGGAAGCUUCUCCUAUGUCUGACAGAGCCAAUGCCAGUCAGUUCCAAGAUGGAUCCAGUUCUGGCCAAGACUGAGUCCAUCGGCGCUGGUGGUAGUGCCUCUGGAUAAUGUAGUGGUGAAGGGGAAAAAAUAGGAACUGGGAAAGAAGCGGGGAGAGAAGAGUGAGAAUAUGUGGGAAAAACAGCUAUGCAAAUCCCAUGGCCUGUGAAGAAUGUGUGGGAAGAACUGCUGUGGGUGAGGAGCAGAGAUUUUCCUGCAGCCUAUGGAGCAGACCAUGGUGAGGCAGCUGUGCCCCUACAACCCCUGGAGGUCAGUGGUGGAGCAGGGAUUCACCUGCAGCUCAUGGAGGACCCCACACCAGAGCAUGUGGAUGCCCAGUGGAGGCUAUGACCCUGUGGAAGCCUGGGCUGGAGCAGUUUGUUCCUAAAGGACUGCACAUCACAGAAAGGACAUACAUUGGAUCAGUUCAUGAAGGACUGCUUCCAAUGGGAGGGAUCCCAGGCUGGGGCAAGGGAAGAGUGUAAGGAGUCCUUAUCCGGAGGAAAAGGAAGGGGCAGAAGGAACAUAUGAUGAGCUCAUUGCAACUCCCAUUCCCAUCCCACUACAUCAGGUGACAGAGAAGGUAGAGAAAACCAGGAGUGAAUUUAAGCCUGGGAAGAAGGUGUUUCAAAGAUACUUUAUUUCUCAUUCUCUUACUCUGGUUUGAUUAGUAAUAAGCCAAUUUCCCUGAGUCCAGUCAGUUUUGCCUGUGAGGAUAUUUGGUGAGUGAUCUCUCUAUCCUUACCUUGACCCAUGAGCCUUCUGUUACAUUUUCUCUCCCCUGUCUGGCUGAGGAGGGCAGUGACAGAGCAGCUUUAGUGGGCACCUGGCACCCAGCCAGAGCAAACUCACCACACUUGUUACAAGUUUUGAUUAAAGAAAAUGCACUUCAGAGACUGUGGAUAAACUACACCAGAAAUAAGUUUGUUCAUACAUGAUAACAGGCUUUUAAAAAUUAGUCAAUCUUCAUUCAGUCACGCCGAGUCCUCAUUUUGUUUCUUUUUCUUCAAUGUGGCCUUUGCACUGUGUUUCACUUUAUGCUAUUAAAAAGCUAUUUGGAUGAUCAAAUUACUAACUUUUUUUGAGACUGAGCUUGAGAAUCCCAUAUUCUUGCUGAUGACAUAGCUGUUCUGAACCAGCUUGCUGGUCCCUGGACAGUCUGAA